CCUACGGGUGGCUGCAGUGAGGAAUAUUGGUCAAUGGACGAGAGCCUGAACCAGCCAAGUCGCGUGAGGGAAGACGGUCCUAUGGAUUGUAAACCUCUUUUGUCAGGGAGCAAGGAGCAGCACGUGUGGUGCGGCGUGAGUACCAUAGGAAAAAGGAUCGGCUAACUCCGGGCCAGCAGCCGCGGUAAUAAGGAGGAUGCGAGCGUUAUCCGGAUUUAUUGGGUUUAAAGGGAGCGCAGGCGGACGCGUCAAGCAGGCGGUAAAGUUUCAGGGUCAAACCUCGCCGAGCAGUUGAUACUGGGCGUCUUGAGUGGGCUAGAAGUAUGCGGAAUGCGUGGUGUAGCGGUGAAAUGCAUAGAUAUCACGCAGAACUCCGAUUGCGAAGGCAGCAUACCGGCGCCCAACUGACGCUGAGGCACGAAAGCGUGGGUAUCGAACAGGAUUAGAUACCCGUGUAGUC
RNAcentral lists this ribosomal RNA (460 nucleotides) under uncultured bacterium. RNAcentral describes it as "partial 16S ribosomal RNA". It matches the Rfam family "Bacterial small subunit ribosomal RNA", at positions 338 to 795 of the family's 1533-position model. The record is from RNAcentral.